ACGAACGCUGGCGGCGUGCUUAACACAUGCAAGUCGAACGAGAAAGCCCGCAAGGGUGAGUAGAGUGGCGCACGGGUGAGUAAUGGAUAGGAACGUACCGAACAGAGGGGGAUAACUGCGGGAAACUGCAGCUAAUACCGCGUACGACGUAAGUUGAAAGGUGGCCUCUACUUGUAAGCUACCGCUGUUUGAUCGGCCUAUCUCCCAUUAGCUAGUUGGCGGGGUAAUAGCCCACCAAGGCUUCGAUGGGUAGCUGGUCUGAGAGGAUGAUCAGCCACACUGGAACUGAGACACGGUCCAGACUCCUACGGGAGGCAGCAGUGGGGAAUCUUGCACAAUGGGGGCAACCCUGAUGCAGCAACGCCGCGUGAGUGAAGAAGGCCCUUGGGUCGUAAAGCUCUUUCGGCCGGGAAGAAGGGUGUUUGGGUGAACAAUCCAGGCAUUUGACGGUACCGGAGUAAGAAGCACCGGCUAAUUCCGU
RNAcentral lists this ribosomal RNA (481 nucleotides) under uncultured bacterium. RNAcentral describes it as "bacterial SSU rRNA". It matches the Rfam family "Bacterial small subunit ribosomal RNA", at positions 29 to 506 of the family's 1533-position model. The record is from RNAcentral.